CGAAAAAUAACGAUACGGGACUCAUCCGAGGCCCCGUAAUCGGAAUGAGCACACUUUAAAUCCUUUAACGAGUAUCCAUUGGAGGGCAAGUCUGGUGCCAGCAGCCGCGGUAAUUCCAGCUCCAAUAGCGUAUAUUAAAGUUGUUGCGGUUAAAAAGCUCGUAGUUGGACUUGUGUCCCACGCUGUCGGUUCACCGCCCGUCGGUGUCUAACUGGCAUGGUUCGUGGGACGUCCUGCCGGUGGUGGCGAGUCGAAGGAGCGCGCCCGUCGUGGUUCACGCCGCGAUCGAGGUUGCGGUCCGUAGACGGACCCCGAUGAAAUCCUACCGCGGUGCUCUUCACCGAGUGUCGAGGUGGGCCGGCACGUUUACUUUGAACAAAUUAGAGUGCUUAAAGCAGGCCUGUUGCGCCUGAAUACUGUGUGCAUGGAAUAAUGGAAUAGGACCUCGGUUCUAUUUUGUUGGUUUUCGGAACCCGAGGUAAUGAUUAAUAGGGACAGUCGGGGGCAUUCGUAUUGCGACGUUAGAGGUGAAAUUCUUGGAUCGUCGCAAGACGGACCGAAGCGAAAGCAUUUGCCAAGUAUGUUUUCAUUAAUCAAGAACGAAAGUUAGAGGUUCGAAGGCGAUCAGAUACCGCCCUAGUUCUAACCAUAAACGAUGCCAGCUAGCGAUCCGCCGAAGUUCCUCCGAUGACUCGGCGGGCAGCUCCCGGGAAACCAAAGCUUUUGGGUUCCGGGGGAAGUAUGGUUGCAAAGCUGAAACUUAAAGGAAUUGACGGAAGGGCACCACCAGGAGUGGAGCCUGCGGCUUAAUUUGACUCAACACGGGAAACCUCACCAGGCCCGGACAC
RNAcentral lists this ribosomal RNA (848 nucleotides) under Stenopelmatus piceiventris. Its description in RNAcentral is "SSU rRNA". It matches the Rfam family "Eukaryotic small subunit ribosomal RNA", at positions 471 to 1231 of the family's 1831-position model. The record is from RNAcentral. Lineage: Eukaryota; Metazoa; Arthropoda; Insecta; Orthoptera; Stenopelmatidae.